RNAcentral lists this long non-coding RNA (5063 nucleotides) under Lotus japonicus. Its description in RNAcentral is "long non-coding RNA (LJAP_LNC001011)". Lineage: Eukaryota; Viridiplantae; Streptophyta; Magnoliopsida; Fabales; Fabaceae. The record is from RNAcentral.
GAGAAGUUAGCAGAGCAGAAGAAAAUAAGCGUGAAAAAGAGAAGGGGAGAAAAAAGAAGAAAAACCUAGAAUUUGAUCUUCAAGAGGUAAAGGUUUGGAUUCAUGUUUUAUGGAUUAGUAUGAUAGUGGGUAAUGACAGGAAGCAUGAUUUAAAACCCUAGAACCUUGCUUGAAAAACAUAUUUUGGGUUUUAUUUUGGAGAUUAGAUAUGUUUAAUCACCAGAUGUUUUGCUCGUCGUUCUUUAUGCGUUGAAUUGCAAACUUUUGAUUUAUAUAUAUUAUUCACAACACUAGCUAUGAGUAUUGAUUGUGAACAAGGGGCUGAAUGCAUAGAGGUUCCUUGUUAUGCAUGACGAACAAGGGGCCAUGAGUAUUAAUUGUCAAAAAAUUUCCUCUGUUCUUGGCGUUGUUUCCUCUACCUGAUGCACCAUUAAUUCGACCCAAAUCCAUUAAGAUGAAACCAUGUUAAGUGCAGGUCUCUCGUAACAUGCUUUAAUACUCUAGAUAAUUGUACACUUGAAGACAAAACAAUUUUUAAUUUAACGAAAUUAAAUACCCUUUAUAGAUGCACAUAUCAAAUCUUUGGAGAGAACGUUAGACAAGAUCUAAGCCAGAUGGUGGCAUCACCUAAUGAAGGUAGUGGCCCGUAGCAUCAAUAGUGGUGAUGGAAUUAAAGGAUUCAAAAGUGAGGAUGAUAAAAACAGGCUUUGGAUGCUUAGAAAUUUAAUUUUUUUCAAUGGUUGAACCCUAAUGCAGAACAAGCUUUGGAUUUGAUCAAAGUAAGGUCCUAGGUGUGGCUAAAGGCUAAAGUCCAAAGCUUCAAAGCUUCUUUCUAUGAAUAGGAGGUGGACUCGGGUUAUUGCUUAAGGGCCUUCUCCAAACCUUUGAUUGAUUAAGUUGGUGGCCAAUCUUGACAAGGAAGGUAGGAUUUUAGCUGUUUCGUCAGGUUUGUUGAUAGGACCUUUGUAAUUGUAUCACUUUCUUUUUCAAUUCUCAUGGUUAAGUGGGGUAUGACAGGGGAUUUAAGACUAUUAAGUUAUUUUUUUAGAGGGGAUUUAAUUUGAAGGCUACUAUGCUUAUUAUUUGCACGUGUUUCUUUGAGACAAGUCUUUUGUUUUGGGUUGGGUUGAAGCACCCCUUAUGCUUCAUUUUUGGUAUCAAUGAAGUCUUUGGUCUUUUUAAAAGAAAAACACAAUGAACCAUAAAGCAGUAAAUUUGAAAUCAAUAAUUUCAUACGUAUGUAGGAGACAUUGGAGUAGUGAAGCCAAAGAAAUUUUCUGUGAUCGCCACUGGGCCGGAUUCUUGAGCAUGAUUAAAGUAACUUGGAGACCUAUAUUAAUAACAUUUAUUACACCCCCUCAGUCUCAAUAGCUCAAUUAGAUAAUCAACUAAACCAUAAAAUAAGUUAGAGGAAGUGAGUACACAGAAGAAGAUGCUUGCUCAAGCAGCAUAGGUCCAUAACCAUAUUGAUGAAUAGUAGGAUUUUGUGGCAUUGAUAAAAAACCUUGUUGAAGAUCUAAGUCUGGUUCUGACCUAAAACAAAAAACAAUAGCACGAUUGGAACUUUAUGCAGAUUUUUUAAGCGAAGAAAUCAUUUAUAUGAUGGAACAAAAGUAUAUUUUAAUGAAAGAAAUUUUAGGAAAUGAAAUACUAGAUACCUAGGAAUGGGAAGUUUUUAAGCGAAGAAAUCAUUUAUAUGAUGGAACAAAAGUAUAUUUUAAUGAAAGAAAUUUUAGGAAAUGAAAUACUAGAUACCUAGGAAUGGGAAGGGCAGGCAACAAAGAGUUUUGAGAAUUUGUACCAAAGAACUUUUGCAUUCCAUGGUGCGCCAUUGCUUUGAAUGAUUUGGGAAAUCUGAAUUAAAAAUAAAUAUGCAACCAAUCACCUAGGCACACAUUUCUUUACUGGAAGUACAACCAGAGUCCCGCACAAAAUAAAACAAAAAUGGAUGGACUCAACUACAUGUUAAUAAUGUAAAACUAACAAAAAGUUUAAAUCAUCAUUGAGCCAAAUAUUGUACUGUUUAAUAAGUUAUUGUAAUAUAAAUUUAUUAAAAAUAAAAUCCAACCUAAUAUUGUGGAGUACACAUAAUAAGGUAAUUUAUUGUUGCAUUUAAUAUUCUAUGGCCUACAAUGUUUUUAUAUGGAAAGUCGCAUAGAUAAAUAAAUGAGGUACAAAUCAAGUUUAUUCAAUCACCAAAGAAAAUUUUUAAAAAAAUUAUUGAAUAAAUUCAUGUAAUUUAUUGUCGCGUAUUUUCCUCUUGUAACCCAAAAAAUUUUAAUUCUGCAUUCAAUGUUCUAAGGCCCAUAAUAAGUUUAUAUGGAAAUUGGCAUAGAUAAGUAAAUGAGGUACAUAUCACGUGUAUUAAUGACUAAAAGAAAUUUUUUAAAAUAUAUUGAAUAAGUUAAAGUAAUGUAUUGUUGCAUUUAAUAUUCUAGGGCCCACAAUACGUUACGUUUAUAUCAAUAGUCGCACAAAUAAAUAAAUGAGGUACAUAUCAAAUUUAUUAAUUGGGCAAGAGUUAAUUUUAAAAAAGAUAUACUGAAUAAGUUGACUUUUACAUAAGACUCGCCUAAAAAAUAUACAAAAUUUAUACUUUUGCUAAAAUCCAAAUAGUACAUGUUUCCCAAAAUUUAAUGUCUAAACCCCCCCCCCCCAGGUUUCUAAACAUGUGUUACAACAAGCAGUUCAUCAGUAGUUCACAUUUUGUAAACUUCUCUUAUAUAUGUUGUAUGUUUGGACAAUAUUAAAAAUCAAGGGGGAAGAAGCAACUUUCCUUGACUUUUAGGGUCGUCUUCCAUGAUUUUAGCUUCACCAUAAUUUUCUACUAUGCAGCCAAACAUGCAGUUACGACUUUUUAAAAUGGUUUAUUUACUUUUUUUCUUUAAAACAAAAUAAAGGCAUCUCCUUUAGAUGAAAAAAAAAAUCCUAGGUAGCGCUACUUAAUGGUGCUUCAACAUCCACACCACAUGUAACACCCCAUAUUUUUCUAUUAAUAAAUUAUUUAUUAUUUUAGUUUAAUUAUUUGUAUGUUAUCUGAUAAUUUGAUAAAUAUAUGAUUUUAUUAUAUAAUUAAGUGAGUAGUUAGGAGUGGGGCCCAUUGUAAGACUAUUUAAGGGUUAUGAGUGAAUUAGAAAGGGAGAAAUCAGAAUUAGAGAAUUGAAGAAGUUAGCAGAGCAGAAGAAAAGAAGCGUGAAAGAGAGAAGGGGAGAAUAAAGAAGAAAAACCUAGAAUUUGAUCUUCAAGAGGUAAGAAUUUGGAUUCAUGUUCUAUGGAUUAGUAUGAUAGUGGGUAAUGACAGGAAGCAUGAUUUAAGAACCCUAGAACCUUGCUUGAAAAACAUGUUUUGGGUUUUAUUUUGGAGAUUAGAUAUGUUUAAUCACCAGAUGUUUUUCUCGUCGUUCUUUAUGGGUUGAAUUGCAAACUUUUGAUUUAUAUAUAUAUUAUUCACAACACUAGCUAUGAGUAUUGAUUGUGAACAAGGGGUUGAAUGCGUAGAGGUUCCUUGUUAUGCAUGACGAACAAGGGGUCAUGAGUAUUGAUUGUCAAAAAAUUUCCUCUGUUCUUGCCGUUGUUUCCUCUGCCUGAUGCACCAUUAAUUCGACCCAAAUCCAUUAAGAUGAAACCAUGUUAAGUGCGUGUCUCUCGUAACAUGCUUUAAUACUCUAGAUAAUUGUACACUUGAAGACAAAACAAUUUUUAAUUUAACGAAAUUAAAUACCCUUUAUAGAUGCACAUAUCAAAUCUUUGGAGAGAAAGUUAGACAAGAUCUUAGCCAAAUGGUGGCAUCACCCAAUGAAGGUAGUGGCCUGUAGCAUCAACAGUGGUGAUGGAAUGAAAGGAUUCAAAAGUGAGGAUGAUAAAAACAUGAUUAAUCGUUAGGUUAAUUUUGGGAUUUAAUUUGGGUUUGGGUUAGGUUAGUUAGUGAAUUAUACGUAGGAAAGGAUUAGUGUAGGAGAGUUUGAGGUGCGCGUGCCCAUGGCGAGUUGCGCAGGGAGAUGUCGCGAGAUGGCGAGCAUGAGCAUGUCGCGAGUUUUUGAAAAAUUGGGAGAAAAUCCAGUUUUGUAUAAUUAAUUUCAGAACCUGUUAAAUGUGAAUUAUAUUUGAUUUAUAUAUGUUUAAUAGUUUAUUAUUUUGGUGUUAUUUUUCUGAAUUGAUGUUAUGUGUUGAGUUGCUAAGUUACUGUGACUGCAAGUUGUAUAAUUGAUUACAUGUAAUAUGUGUUUUGUGCAACUGGUGAUGAAUAUGCUAAAAUAAUUAGGACUUUGAGAUGGUCUGAAUAUGCAUAUGUUAGUUGAGUUGUGCACAAUACACUGCAUAGUUGUCAAGAGGCAAUGUUUGCUUGUUCGCGUGGAGACUAGUGACUUGUCACAAAACUGGAGUGGUUUUGAAGCCUAGAGCGAGGGCUUUAUUGGUGGUUAUAUGUCUGGAGUGGACGCGGUGAUACCGCUAAGGAUAACAACUUUGGUACCAAAGGCAUUUGCACGGGUCUCACUUGAGUCAUAUGUGUUAGGGAGUUGUUGAUGCUAAUUAAUGAUAAUUGUGAUAUUUUUUUGAGAUUGAUGUUGUGGUAAUUGGAGACAAUAAUAUUUGCUUACUUGAUGCUAUGAAUUAUGGAGUAUUGUCAUAACUGUGAGAUUGAUUGAUUAUAUUAAAUUACAUAAUUUAUUAUUUGUUAGUGAAGUGUGAAGAAUUUAUGUGGAACAUAGAUAAGCUUUUACAUUAUUUAUUAUUAUGCUUAUCCAUAUGAUAUGAGUUCUCACCCUUCUGUUGGAAUGAUGUUCUAUGCAACAUCGCUCAGGUACAGAGGAUAGUGGAGCUUCUCACGAGGGUUAGUUAGAGGAGCUAGUCUUUCAGAUAUGCUUUUAGUGAUGGGAGUCAUGUUAUAUUAUGUAACACUGGGGAACCGCUUAGUUUGUACCUUGAUGUUAAGAGUUAUUUUGUGAACUCUCUUCAUUUAUUUUUGGAUUAUGUUUUAUUUUGAAGCUGAAAUAAAUCCGUUGUGCUAUGCAUAUGAUGUUAUGACAUUAAAGUUGGAAAUUUAUAUAUUUAUUAUGAGCAUG